Molecule: ribosomal RNA, 237 nt
Filed under: uncultured bacterium
Lineage: Bacteria
Description: partial 16S ribosomal RNA
Rfam family: Bacterial small subunit ribosomal RNA
Source: RNAcentral
CGGCGACGGGUGAGUAACGCGUGGGUAACCUACCCUGUACACACGGAUAACAUACCGAAAGGUAUGCUAAUACGGGAUAAUAUAUUUGAGAGGCAUCUCUUGAAUAUCAAAGGUGAGCCAGUACAGGAUGGACCCGCGUCUGAUUAGCUAGUUGGUAAGGUAACGGCUUACCAAGGCGACGAUCAGUAGCCGACCUGAGAGGGUGAUCGGCCACAUUGGAACUGAGACACGGUCCAA